GCUGGAGUCAUGUGGCCAAAAAAGUGGUGAUGAAUGAUUGCUCCAGCUGCCUAUGCCCACCUCCAAGAUUUAAAGCAACCCAGCAAACAGGGCAUGAAAAUAUAGACCACUGGCGCGGAGUUAAGUGUUCAACAAAUGGCCAGCAAAGGGGCAACUGUGUAGUUGCAGAAAGAUAAUCUGGAAUAACGCCUUCUCUAUAGACUGAGUCAGUUCCAGGUGGAUCAAUCAUUAAUUGUGGAAGACUGGAAGUCUACCUGUCCAUCAGCAGAGAAACGGUCAAUUGCCACAUAUCCCUGCAGUAAAAAUGUCAUGGAGUCUGCAAAAGAAAAAACAGCCUGGGACUCUGAAUAUCUUCUGGAUAUAUUAAGUAAAAAAAAAGAAGAGCAAAGUACAGUACCGUAAAUCUGUUCAUACUGC
This 417-nucleotide long non-coding RNA is filed under the name Chinchilla lanigera (long-tailed chinchilla). Its description in RNAcentral is "lncRNA (ENSCLAG00000025371.1)". The record is from RNAcentral. Lineage: Eukaryota; Metazoa; Chordata; Mammalia; Rodentia; Chinchillidae.